ACUCCUACGGGAGGCAGCAGUGGGAAUAUUGGACAAUGGGGGCAACCCUGAUCCAGCCAUGCCGCGUGAGUGAAGAAGGCCCUAGGGUCGUAAAGCUCUUUCAACUGUGAAGAUAAUGACGGUAGCAGUAGAAGAAACCCCGGCAGCUACCGUGCCAGCAGCCGCGGUAAUACGGAGGGGUUAGCGUUGUUCGGAAUUACUGGGCGUAAAGCGCACGUAGGCGGACUAUUAAGUUAGAGGUGAAAUCCCAGGGCUCAACCCUGGAACUGCCUUUAAUACUGGUAGUCUUGAUUCGAGAGAGGUG
Molecule: ribosomal RNA, 304 nt
Filed under: uncultured bacterium
Lineage: Bacteria
Description: bacterial SSU rRNA
Rfam family: Bacterial small subunit ribosomal RNA
Source: RNAcentral